Molecule: ribosomal RNA, 619 nt
Filed under: Hemachatus haemachatus (ringhals)
Lineage: Eukaryota; Metazoa; Chordata; Lepidosauria; Squamata; Elapidae
Description: partial 12S ribosomal RNA
Rfam family: Bacterial small subunit ribosomal RNA (bases 1-504)
Source: RNAcentral
GCCCAGCUGUAACAAAACAAUCAAAUAACUAAUUGUUCGCCAAAUAACUACGAGUAAAAACUUAAAAUUUAAAAGACUUGACGGUACUUCACAUCAACCUAGAGGAGCCUGUCUAAUAACCGAUAACCCACGAUUAACCCAACCCACUCUAGCCCAACAGUCUAUAUACCGCCGUCGCCAGUUUACCUUGUGAAAGAAACAAAGUAAGCCUAACAACACUACAUUAAUACACAGGUCGAGGUGUAACUAAUGAGGCGGGCAAUGAUGGGCUACAUUUUCUAACCUAGAAAAUACGAAUAGACUAUGAAACUAGAAACUGAAGGCGGAUUUAGUAGUAAGCCAAGAACAGAAUACUUAGCCGAAAUUAACGCAAUGAAGUGCGCACACACCGCCCGUCAUCCCUGUAAAUUAUAAAGACUAUUUAUAAACAAAUUAUAUAAACCCAAACAGGGCAAGUCGUAACAUGGUAAGCGUACUGGAAAGUGCGCUUAGAGACAAAAAGUAGCUUACGCUAAAGCACUCGACUUACAAUCGAACGAUAUUAAAUAUAAUCUUUUUGAGCUGAAAGCAUACAUACAAUUAUACAAACAUACAUAGACCUAUAAAACAAAACAUUUGA